GUGAGUAGUUCAGAGUUUGAUCCUGGCUCAGGACGAACGCUGGCGGCGUGCCUAACACAUGCAAGUCGAGCGGGGACAAUGGCUUCGGUUGUUGUUCUAGCGGCGGACGGGUGAGUAACGCGUGAGCAACCUCUCUCUCAGUGGGGAAUAACACAGGGAAACUUGUACUAAUACCGCAUAGGACCACGACCCGGCAUCGGGUUGAGGUGAAAGAUUUAUCGCUGAGAGGUGGGCUCGCGUCUGAUUAGAUAGUUGGUGGGGUAACGGCCUACCAAGUCGACGAUCAGUAGCCGACCUGAGAGGGUGAUCGGCCACAUUGGGACUGAGACACGGCCCAA
RNAcentral lists this ribosomal RNA (338 nucleotides) under uncultured bacterium. Its description in RNAcentral is "bacterial SSU rRNA". It matches the Rfam family "Bacterial small subunit ribosomal RNA", at positions 1 to 334 of the family's 1533-position model. The record is from RNAcentral.